This 5500-nucleotide long non-coding RNA is filed under the name Sus scrofa (pig). RNAcentral describes it as "lncRNA (ENSSSCG00000053349.1)". Lineage: Eukaryota; Metazoa; Chordata; Mammalia; Artiodactyla; Suidae. The record is from RNAcentral.
GGGGUACGUGCAGACUCCUAUCCACAGGCUGAUUCCCCCCACAUUGAAAAUCAGUGGGCAAGAGAUUUUACAGCCACAUGCAGAAACAGCACAGUAAGCUCUGAUAGUCAUCCUAAAAUUGGUCUUGUGGUCUGACCAGCAUCAUGAUUGUCUUCAGAAUAGCUGAUCUUUAGUUCCAAUGUCAGUUUGUUCCCAUUUGCUUGAGGCCAGGUCUUGGAAUUGGGGCAGCCUGUGUCAUGGCUGCAGUCUGGUCAUUUCAUAAUUAACUUCUACCUGAUAGGGGUUUCAGUAUCUAUAAGACAGCUCAGAGGAUAUGGCUCAACAUAUUAUCUACAGCCCAUGAGGAAGUCCUUGACUUUACUGAAUGGCUAAAUUUUUGUUAUUUUGCCUCGCUUGACUAUUUUCUUUUGCUUCUUCAUUUUCUCAUUUCUCUGAUUAAACUUAUUCUUUAAAGUUUUUCUACAGACAAAAGGCAGGCAGAUGACAUGGCAUGGAAGGACCACAGGGUUCUGCUCUAUUUCAUUAUAUAUAUAAACUGGGGUAAAAUGUGCAUAGCCUAACAUUUACUAUUCCAACCAACUUUAAUUGUACAGUUUGGUGGCAUUAAGGGCAUUCACAUUUUUGUGCAACCAUCACCAACUUCCAUCUCCAGAACUCUUUUCAUCUUGCAAAACUGAAGUCUGUACCCAUUAAUCCCCAUUUUCCAUCCCCAGACCCUGACAACAACCAUUCUAAUGCCUGUUUCAUUGAAUUUGAUUAUUAUAGGCACCUCACAUAAGUGGAAUCAUAAAGUAUUUGUCAUUUUGUGUCUCAAGGUUCAUCCAAGCUGUAGUUCCUCUUCUACUUUUAUUGUUUAUUUUCUUUUUGUUUUUAAGCAGUUGAUGCCCAGCUCAUGUAUUUCCAUUUAUUCUGAUUUAAUUAUAUAAGUGCUUUGGGCUCUGAUUUUACUUCUCAUCAAAGCUUUAACAGCAAUGUGUUUGUUUUGAUAUGUAGAUUUUUUAUCUUUACUUUCUAAGUAUUCUAUACAUUCUAUACGUUCAGUUUUGACAUCUUCUUUGAACGAAGAUUUUUUGACGUUUUAAAAAUUUCCAAAUUGUUUUUUUUUUUUUUUUUUGUCUUUUUAGGGCCACACCCACAGCAUAUGGAGGAUCCCAAGCUAGGGGUUGAAACAGAGCUGUAACUGCUGGCCCAUGCCACAGCCACAGCAACACAGGAUCUGAGCCAUGUCUGUGACCUACACCACUGUUCACGGCAAAGCUGGAUCCUCAACCCAGUGAGCAAGGCUAGGCGUAGAACCUCCAUUCUCAUGGAUACUACUCAGAUUCAUUUCUGCUGAGCCAUGAUGGGAAUUCUAAAAUUUCAAAAUUUUUUAAAAGUUAAAAAUUAAUUUCUAAUUGUAUUACAUUGUGCUUUGAGCACCAUGUAUUCUGUCCUAUUUCUAUGUUUAUAAUUUAUUGAGGUAUAUUUUAAGUUUCUUAAUAUAAUCAUUUUUGCAAAUUUUCCAGAUUAUAACCUUGAAGUUCUGGCCUUUGACACCAACAAAUUUAGAUAGGCAGGAGGGUCUACACUCUAUGCUAACAAUACUUCUCUUUUAGUUUCCUUUCCUUUUACUAUUAGAUAUUUAACAAUUCAUAUCAAUUGUUGAUUUUAUUCUGAAUGUUUUCCUUAAAUUCACACUUUGAAAUCAGGGCUGCAGAUUUCUUUUUCUGAGCUUAUGCCUAGUAUAGCCUUAUCCAUACACACACACACACACACACACACACACACAUAUAUUGGCUUUUUAGGACUGCACCUGCAGCAUAUAAAGUUUCCCAGGCUAAGGGGCUAGAGGUCUAAUUGGAGCUGUAGCUGCUGGCCUAUGCCACAGCUGUAGCAAUGCCAGAUCCGAGCAGUGUCUGCAAUCUACAUUACAGCUCACAACAAUACCACAUCCUUAACCCACUGAACGAGGCCAUGGAUUGCACCUGCAACCUCAUGGUUCCUAAUCAGAUUCAUUUCCAAUGCACCAUGAUGGGAACUCCGCCUUAUCCAUAAUUUUAUUUUUAACCUUUUUUGAAUUACUUUGUUGUAGGUUUGCCUUGAAUAUGCAUUUACAUUUUAAUGUUGCUGAUGUGUUUGGUUCUGAUAUUAUUUUUCCUUAAAUAUUUUUUAUGUUUCUGUGCAUGAAAUUGAUAUUUCAUUUGUAUCCUAUGUUUUGAAUUUUCUUUUUUUUUUCCUCCUUUGGUGCAUAUGUAUUCCUUUUGUUAAAAUGGAAGACAUUAUUGGUAUGUAUUUCAAAUGGUCACUUACAUGCUUUUACACAGUGUAAUCAAACUUACAUUUCAUGAUUUAUCAACCUCAACCUGUUCCCGGAGUUUUCCCAAUGUUCUGAAAUGGUGGGAUUGGGGUUCUCAAUUUGUUUCCAAAGCUCUGCAACUUACCAUUUAUUUUACUUGUCCAUCUCAUCUUUCAGCUCUUGCUUCACUGAAAUCCAUUUCUCAUUCUUAUACAGCACUUUGGAGAUUUCUCUUGUUUGGUUCUCUUUUUCUAGGGUGGUAACUUUCCAUCUCUGCCCCAGGCCAGGGUUACUCUCUCUCUUCUGUUCUCUCUGCCAUCUUGGCAUGAAUGCCUUGCUACUUAUUUCCCUCUUGCUUCUGCUGAUUGGGCACCUCUGGGUGGACCUUCUGUUUCCUCUGAAAGAGAAGCUCUCCAGAGCUCUUCCCAAAUUCUCUGCCCUCUCAUUCAGGCUGGAGGUGAAGACUCAGACCUUCCACUUUCUUCUGUUUUUUUUUUUUUUUUGCCUUGAGGAGCUGAAAGGAAGGAUGGAAAAUUGGUCUUGUACAUUUUUACCUUUUUUUGCUGCAGAUGUUGCUAUGUUAAGUGCCACUAAUAUUCAGGUUGAGGAAACCUACCUUGAUAUUUAUUUCUCUAAUUGAGCAUGAAACCCUGGGGCCUUCUAUCAGCUGGUUAUUAUCUCACCUGCAGCAUUGCCCACCCCAUCCCUAAACCCACCUCCAUGGAUGAGGGUGCAGGUACUGGCACGUUGGAGGAUGGGAGCACUAUCUUUUGCUGUGACUGUGCCUUGGAGGUGGUUAAAAUCACAUCCCCUUUUCUUUCUGCUCAUCUGGGUAAGACCCCCCAGUGGGUUUCCUGCUUCUGUAGAGAGCCUCAAGGGCUCUGUAGCGGGGUUUCUAGAAACUUCCCCCUCCAGAUCACAACUUCCCUUCUCUGUUACCUCACUCCAUGUUGGUGGGGCUGGGGGAGCAGCGUCAGGUCCUCUGGUGGGAUGUAUAGGUCGGGUGUCACUCUGAUGCAGAGUCUGUGCUUCUGAUGCAGAGUCUGUGCUUCUGGGGUCCAUGCCAUGCUUGACUCUCUUUCCUGGGCUGCAGCAUCUUGAAGAGUGUGGCAUGUGACCCUGUCAAGUCACUUCCUUCACUGCUGCUGUUUAGUAAUUUUGUUGUUUGGGGAAGGAGCAUCUCUGGUCCUUCUUUCCUCCACCCAUAGUACCUUUUUAGAAAAAUGAGUGUCAGUGGAGAGUGAUGUACUCAAGCACCAAGGCUAGUGGUAAAAUAUACUACCGAUAAUUUGAGAGUACUGUAGCAGAUGUUUUUAACUUUAUUUUGAAGCUGUUGAUCUUUUUUUUUUUUUUUAAAUGGAAACCAAAAUUGGUUUUUAUUCAAUGUAGGAAUUCCUGAACAUUUGGGGUUUAAUAUUUCAAGUUGAACUUGAGCCUUUUGUCACUCUAGGCUCAGAAUAAUGACUUGAUCCUUUUCAAGAGCAAUAUUUUAAUAGCUUCUUAAAAAUCAAUUUCCAAAGUGUAUUUCAAGAGUAGAGUUAGAGACUCAAGUAGCUCUUUAAGAAUGUAGUUUGAUGCAUAAAGCAUAAUUGGUGUGAAAUUGUAGAUCUUUAUGCCCAAGGAGCUUCUGUAGUUGUGGGUUUAGGAUUUCUCCAUCUAUAAUUGCCCAUAUUUCUCUCUAUGGUAAAUUAAAGUAACCAAGAAUCGGUUAUUUCUUUGUAGCAUUUCUUUUUAUUAAUACUGACUGCAUAGCUGCCUUCUAAAACACAUUGCUUUGAACCAUCAUUUUAAGAUAAGGAUAGUCUUGGAGUUCCUAUGUGGCUCAGUAGGUUGAGGAUCCGGCAUUGUAAUUGCAGUGGCACAGGGUUCAAUCUCUGGCCCAGAAACUUCCACAAGCCCUGAGUGCAAUAGAAAGAAAGAAAGAAAGAAAGAAAGAAAGAAAGAAAGAAAGAAAGAAAAGAAAAGAAAAGGAUAGUGUGGCAGAAAUAAAUACUUUAGCAUUAAAAUGAGUUCUGGGAGUUCCCGUCUUGGCGCAGUGGUUAACGAAUCUGACUAGGAACCAUGAGGUUGCGGGUUCGGUCCCUGCCCUUGCUCUGUGGGUUAAUGAUCCGGUGUUGCCGUGAGCUGUGGUGUAGGUUGCAGACGCGGCUCGGAUCCCGAGUUGCUGUGGCUCUGGCGUAGGCUGGUGGCUACAGCUCCAAUUCGACCCCUAGCCUGGGAACCUCCAUAUGCCGCGGGAGCGGCCCAAGAAAUAGCAACAACAGCAACAACAAAAGACCAAAAAAAAAUAAAAUAAAAUGAGUUCUGUUUCCGCCUGUGCAUUUUAGUAAUUGCUACACAAUAUAAAUGGCCAUUAUGCUUUUCCAACAUGAUAAAACUCAGAAACUCACCACCUAUUUAAAAUGACAAUCCAGGUUAGUCCUGUCCAUAUUUCAAUGUCUGUGUACACACUGUCGUCCUUGGCCUCUAGCUCCUGUGUGACGGUAUUAUAUACAUCAUAUACUGUUUAUAGAGGGAGGCUCUUGCCGAAAUAGCGGCUGCCUCUAUAACUGAUGCUAGAUAGAAAUGCCGAGACAGAGCUGGAGGAAACAGAAAAGGUAGCUUUAAUUGCCAGGCAAACAGGGAACACAGCAGGCUAGUGCCUCUAGGACUGUUCCCCCCUGGAGGGGAUAGUGAGGAGUUUUAGUGCUCAAGGAGCAGAGUGCGAUCAGCUGGUGGACAUUUUCUUGAUUGGCUGGUGGUGAGGUAAUUGGGAGUCAGCAUCAUCAAUCUUCUGUUUGCAACCGGUCUGAGAACUACAUGCUCAAGGGGAACAUACAGUUAAAACUUCUUCCACCUGGAGAGGCUUUGGCACCUGCAAAACGCUCCGAGGACAUGGCUCAGAAUAUUAUCUUUAGUCCUUGAGGAAGAAGUAAAUGUCCUUGACUUUGUUGAAUGGCUAAACUAUUAUUUUUUUGCCUUGUUUGAAUCUUUUUCUUUGUACGUUUAAUCUUGUCUGAUUAUAGUGGUUCUUUGACUAAAGUUUUUCUACAGACAAAAGGCAGGUGGAAGACAUGUGUGAGUGGUCUAUUCUGGGAAAGCCCCACAGGGUCCUGCUCGGUUACAAGGCCUGGUGACUCAUUUGAGGAAGCAGUGCUUCAAAUCUUUUAUGGAAAGUGGCAAGUUCACUAUCUUCAAUUACAUUCAGUAUUUCCAAAAUAGACAAAAGCAUCUUUGCCAUCAGUC